CGCGUUCCACCUAGCCACGCUGCGCCGAGAGGUUUGUGGGACGACGUGGCUUACUGCCACUGAUGCCGUUGAUCCCGCUUCCACAAACCCAGGGUUUGAAUUUGCGCCUCAGUCGCUGAUGGCAACCCCUCCCCCGUGAAAAAUGUGUCUGUGCACUCUCUGUGGCCGCAUACGCCUUCAGCCACGAAUCCAAUGAGCACUGCAUACCUCAUAAUCCUCCGCUUCUGUCUUUAUGCAUGUGUGGCCGUUCAAGGCGCAGGGCACAAGCACACGCACACACGAAUCACAGCCACCACCAGAGGCCGCAAGACGAUCUCACCCUGCUCCCUCACUCCCUUUCUCUGUCUUCCUGUGUGGGUAUAUGCGUCGCUGAUGAAAUCCCCCUCCUCACCCUUCUUUUGUUGUUGUUUUGCUGCUCGUUGUGCCUACUUCUCGCGCGGUGUUUCAAAAUCCGACGUUGUGCCACACUCCUUGCCUCGACGUCAAGGCGCUCACCCACCCCCGCCCUCAGCGUCCUCCUCACAGUCGCGUUCCUCUGGUCUGCUUCCUCUGAAACGAAACGAGUAUCGACUUGGCGGGCACAAACACACGCACGUGGGUGUCAGCGACGCGCGACAACUGCGUGAAGCUAAGGGAGUAGGAGGAGGAGGGGGUGGGGGCGAUGGUCAUCGAGAAGGGUGCGUGGCACACGCCACAGCAGGUCGCCCUCUCCCAUCGCCGGAAACGAAAAGAAAGACUCCAACAGCGGAGUCGAGUGAAGCCGCAUUCUGAUCACCACCACCGCAGAGUUCCUGUCAUCCCUUCUCUCCCACCCUCGCGUCCCCUGCUUCUCUACCCCACCUCCCUCUCGCACUGCCCCGGCC
RNAcentral lists this unclassified non-coding RNA (863 nucleotides) under Leishmania donovani. RNAcentral describes it as "gene:unknown". The record is from RNAcentral. Lineage: Eukaryota; Euglenozoa; Kinetoplastea; Trypanosomatida; Trypanosomatidae.